AUGCAAGUCGAACGAACCUUCGGGUUAGUGGCGGACGGGUGAGUAACGCGUGAGAAUCUGCCCUCAGGAGGGGGACAACAGCUGGAAACGGCUGCUAAUACCCCACAUGCCGAGAGGUGAAAUGAAUUUCGCCUGAGGAUGAGCUCGCGUCUGAUUAGCUAGUUGGUGGGGUAAGAGCUCACCAAGGCAUCGAUCAGUAGCUGGUCUGAGAGGAUGAUCAGCCACACUGGGACUGAGACACGGCCCAGACUCCUACGGGAGGCAGCAGUGGGGAAUUUUCCGCAAUGGGCGAAAGCCUGACGGAGCAACGCCGCGUGAGGGAUGAAGGCCUCUGGGCUGUAAACCUCUUUUCUCAAGGAAGAAGAUCUGACGGUACUUGAGGAAUAAGCCACGGCUAAUUCCGUGCCAGCAGCCGCGGUAAUACGGGAGUGGCAAGCGUUAUCCGGAAUUAUUGGGCGUAAAGCGUCCGCAGGCGGCCCAGAAAGUCUGCUGUUAAAAAGUGGAGCUUAACUCCAUCAUGGCAGUGGAAACUUCUGGGCUACAGUGUGGUACGGGCAGAGGGA
This 563-nucleotide ribosomal RNA is filed under the name uncultured bacterium. RNAcentral describes it as "bacterial SSU rRNA". It matches the Rfam family "Bacterial small subunit ribosomal RNA", at positions 55 to 665 of the family's 1533-position model. The record is from RNAcentral.